GAAAGCCAGACAGUAAGUCAUAUAACUUAUUUUUCUAAUCAGGGAAUCCAGUUAAAAUCUGGAGCGGUCCCGCCACUGUAAUAGGGUGUGUGCUCUCUAAUAAAGCCACUGGCAACGAAUAUGCCGGGAAGGCAGAGAGUAAAGUCCCUUAAGCCAGGAGACCUGUGUCAAGUUUAUAGAUUGU
RNAcentral lists this non-coding RNA (184 nucleotides) under Actinomycetota bacterium. Lineage: Bacteria; Bacillati; Actinomycetota. The record is from RNAcentral.